CACAGUGUAGCAAUACAUGGGUGGUGACCGGCAAACGGGUGCGGAACACGUACGCAACCUUCCUUCAGGCGGGGAAUAGCCCAGAGAAAUUUGGAUUAAUACCCCAUAAUAUUUUGAGAUGGCAUCAUCUUAUUAUUAAAGCUACGGCACCUGGAGAUGGGCGUGCGGCUGAUUAGGUAGUUGGCGGGGUAAUGGCCCACCAAGCCUACGAUCAGUAGCUGAUGUGAGAGCAUGAUCAGCCACACGGGCACUGAGACACGGGCCCGACUCCUACGGGAGGCAGCAGUAAGGAAUAUUGGUCAAUGGACGCAAGUCUGAACCAGCCAUGCCGCGUGGAGGAUGAAGGUCCUCUGGAUUGUAAACUUCUUUUAUCUGGGACGAAAAAAGGGUUUUCUAACUCGUCUGACGGUACCAGAUGAAUAAGCACCGGCUAACUCCGUGCCAGCAGCCGCGGUAAUACGGAGGGUGCAAGCGUUAUCCGGAUUCACUGGGUUUAAAGGGUGCGUAGGCGGGCAUUUAAGUCAGUGGUGAAAUACCUGAGCUUAACUUGGGAACUGCCAUUGAUACUAUUUGUCUUGAAUGUCGUGGAGGUUAGCGGAAUAUGUCAUGUAGCGGUGAAAUGCUUAGAUAUGACAUAGAACACCUAUUGCGAAGGCAGCUAACUACGCGAAUAUUGACGCUGAGGCACGAAAGCGUGGGGAUCAAACAGGAUUAGAUACCCUGGUAGUCCACGCCCUAAACGAUGAUUACUCGACAUUAGCGAUACACUGUUAGUGUUGAGCGA
This 784-nucleotide ribosomal RNA is filed under the name uncultured bacterium. Its description in RNAcentral is "SSU rRNA". It matches the Rfam family "Bacterial small subunit ribosomal RNA", at positions 70 to 854 of the family's 1533-position model. The record is from RNAcentral.